AUUAACGCUAGCGGCAGGCAUAAUACAUGCAAGUUGAACGGCAGCACAGGUAGCAAUACUGGGUGGCGAGUGGCGCACGGGUGCGUAACACGUAUGCAACCUACCCUAUACAGGCGAAUAACCUUUAGAAAUGAGGGCUAAUACGCCGUAGUAUUAUCUUGGGGCAUCUUGAGAUAAUUAAAGAUUUAUCGGUAUAGGAUGGGCAUGCGUCCCAUUAGUUAGUUGGUAGGGUAACGGCCUACCAAGGCGAUGAUGGGUAGGGG
Molecule: ribosomal RNA, 263 nt
Filed under: uncultured bacterium
Lineage: Bacteria
Description: partial 16S ribosomal RNA
Rfam family: Bacterial small subunit ribosomal RNA
Source: RNAcentral